RNAcentral lists this ribosomal RNA (433 nucleotides) under uncultured bacterium. Its description in RNAcentral is "bacterial SSU rRNA". It matches the Rfam family "Bacterial small subunit ribosomal RNA", at positions 28 to 477 of the family's 1533-position model. The record is from RNAcentral.
GAUGAGCGCUGGCGGCGUGCCUAACACAUGCAAGUCGAACGAUGAAACCGCCCUCGGGCGGACAUGAAGUGGCGAACGGGUGAGUAACACGUGACCAACCUGCCCCUUGCUCCGGGACAACCUUGGGAAACCGAGGCUAAUACCGGAUACUCCUCGCCCCCCUCCUGGGGGGCCCGGGAAAGCCCAGACGGCAAGGGAUGGGGUCGCGGCCCAUUAGGUAGUAGGCGGGGUAACGGCCCACCUAGCCCGCGAUGGGUAGCCGGGUUGAGAGACCGACCGGCCACAUUGGGACUGAGAUACGGCCCAGACUCCUACGGGAGGCAGCAGUGGGGAAUUUUGCGCAAUGGGGGCAACCCUGACGCAGCAACGCCGCGUGCGGGACGACGGCCUUCGGGUUGUAAACCGCUUUCAGCGGGGAAGAAAUUCGACGGUA